AUUGAACGCUGGCGGCAUGCUUUACACAUGCAAGUCGAACGGCAGCACGGGAGCUUGCUCCUGGUGGCGAGUGGCGAACGGGAGAGUAAUGCAUCGGAACGUACCUCUUAGUGGGGGAUAACUAUCCGAAAGGAUAGCUAAUACCGCAUACGUCCUGAGGGAGAAAGCGGGGGAUCGCAAGAUCUCGCGCUAGUAGAGCGGCCGUUGUUGGAUGAGCUAGUUGGUGGGGUAAAGGCCUGCCAAGGCGACGAUCCAUAGCUGGUCUGCGAGGAUGAUCAGCCACACGGGGGCUGGGAAACGGGCCAGACUGCUACGGGAGGCAGCGGUGGGGAAUUUUGGACGAUGGGGGCAACCCUGAUCCAGCCAUUCGGCAAGAGUGAAGAAGGCCUUCGGGUUGUAAAGCUCUUUCGGCAGGAACGAAACGGUGGUUACUAAUACGAGCUACUAAUGGCGGUACCUGAAGAAGAAGCACCGGCUAACUACGUGCCAGCCGCCGCAGUAA
RNAcentral lists this ribosomal RNA (502 nucleotides) under uncultured bacterium. RNAcentral describes it as "partial 16S ribosomal RNA". It matches the Rfam family "Bacterial small subunit ribosomal RNA", at positions 29 to 523 of the family's 1533-position model. The record is from RNAcentral.